RNAcentral lists this small nucleolar RNA (84 nucleotides) under Pongo abelii (Sumatran orangutan). The stretch from base 1 to 67 matches the Rfam family "Small nucleolar RNA SNORD42". From Rfam's summary of the family: snoRNA U42 is found in intron 3 of the ribosomal protein L23a (RPL23a) gene in humans and is also present in mice. The record is from RNAcentral. Lineage: Eukaryota; Metazoa; Chordata; Mammalia; Primates; Hominidae.
UAGCAUAUGAUGGAAAAACCUUAAUCUUCUGAGACUUGUGAUGUCUUCAAAGGAACCACUGAUGCACAUGUGGAAAUUUUAUAA